RNAcentral lists this unclassified non-coding RNA (222 nucleotides) under soil metagenome. Its description in RNAcentral is "partial internal transcribed spacer 1". The record is from RNAcentral.
AUGAAAUGAAAGUUUUUUUGGGGUUUUCCCUGAAAAAUAAUUCACCAUUUGUGCAUUGUUAUUAGAUAUACUUUGGUUAGAGCUUUGAUUUCAUUAUUGGAAUCAACUUCUUGCUGACUCUAUCCUAUUGAAUGGGACAGUUGGCUAUGAAGCGGCCCUACCAAGGUUUUUUUAUCAAACUCUUGUAUUUUGUCUGACCUAAAAUAUCAAUAAUUAAAUCAU